GCUUCCGUAGCUCAAUUGGCAGAGCAGGCGACUCUUAAUCGUCUGGUUCCAGGUUCGAGUCCUGGCGGGAGCA
RNAcentral lists this transfer RNA (73 nucleotides) under Anaerolineae bacterium SG8_19. RNAcentral describes it as "tRNA-Lys". It matches the Rfam family "tRNA". From Rfam's summary of the family: Transfer RNA (tRNA) molecules are approximately 80 nucleotides in length. Their secondary structure includes four short double-helical elements and three loops (D, anti-codon, and T loops). The record is from RNAcentral. RNAcentral also lists the same sequence under 3 other names. Lineage: Bacteria; Bacillati; Chloroflexota; Anaerolineae.